This 315-nucleotide ribosomal RNA is filed under the name uncultured archaeon. RNAcentral's name for it is "bacterial SSU rRNA". It matches the Rfam family "Archaeal small subunit ribosomal RNA", at positions 1029 to 1343 of the family's 1478-position model. The record is from RNAcentral.
UUAAGUCAGGCAACAAGCGAGACCCACGCCAACAGUUGCCAGCUCGUCCUCCGGGAUGGUGGGGACACUGUUGGGACCGCCUCUGCUAAAGAGGAGGAAGGAAUGGGCAACGGUAGGUCAGCAUGCCCCGAAUUAUCCGGGCUACACGCGGGCUACAAUGGUUGGUACAAUGGGUAUCUACCCCGAAAGGGGAUGGAAAUCUCCUAAAGCCAAUCUUAGUUCGGAUUGAGGGCUGCAACUCGCCCUCAUGAAGCUGGAAUCCGUAGUAAUCGCGUUUCAAUAGAACGCGGUGAAUACGUCCCUGCUCCUUGCACA